This 736-nucleotide ribosomal RNA is filed under the name Allantus sp. YI-2013. Its description in RNAcentral is "SSU rRNA". It matches the Rfam family "Eukaryotic small subunit ribosomal RNA", at positions 613 to 1310 of the family's 1831-position model. Lineage: Eukaryota; Metazoa; Arthropoda; Insecta; Hymenoptera; Tenthredinidae. The record is from RNAcentral.
UUGCGGUUAAAAAGCUCGUAGUUGAAUCUGUGUCCCACGCUGCCGGUUCGCCGCUCGCGGUGUUUAACUGGCAUGAUUGUGGGACGUCCUACCGGUGGGCUUAGCCUCUCGGGGCGGCCCAACUAAUAUCCCAUCGCGGUGCUCUUCAUUGAGUGUCGAGGUGGGCCGGUACGUUUACUUUGAACAAAUUAGAGUGCUUAAAGCAGGCUAUUUUCGCCUGAAUACUGUGUGCAUGGAAUAAUGGAAUAGGACCUCGGUUCUAUUUUGUUGGUUUUCGGAACCCCGAGGUAAUGAUUAAUAGGGACAGAUGGGGGCAUUCGUAUUGCGACGUUAGAGGUGAAAUUCUUGGAUCGUCGCAAGACGGACAGAAGCGAAAGCAUUUGCCAAAAAUGUUUUCUUUAAUCAAGAACGAAAGUUAGAGGUUCGAAGGCGAUCAGAUACCGCCCUAGUUCUAACCAUAAACGAUGCCAGCUAGCGAUCCGCCGAAGUUCCUCCGAUGACUCGGCGGGCAGCUUCCGGGAAACCAAAGCUUUUGGGUUCCGGGGGAAGUAUGGUUGCAAAGCUGAAACUUAAAGGAAUUGACGGAAGGGCACCACCAGGAGUGGAGCCUGCGGCUUAAUUUGACUCAACACGGGAAACCUCACCAGGCCCGGACACCGGAAGGAUUGACAGAUUGAGAGCUCUUUCUUGAUUCGGUGGGUGGUGGUGCAUGGCCGUUCUUAGUUGGUGGAGCGAU